This 2916-nucleotide ribosomal RNA is filed under the name Aeromonas veronii. RNAcentral's name for it is "bacterial LSU rRNA". It matches the Rfam family "Bacterial large subunit ribosomal RNA". Lineage: Bacteria; Pseudomonadati; Pseudomonadota; Gammaproteobacteria; Aeromonadales; Aeromonadaceae. The record is from RNAcentral.
GUUGUAUGGUUAAGUGACUAAGCGUACAUGGUGGAUGCCUUGGCAGUCAGAGGCGAUGAAGGACGUACUAACCUGCGAUAAGCUGUGAGAAGUCGGUAAGAGACGCUAUUACUCACAGAUUUCCGAAUGGGGAAACCCACCCGAGAUAACUCGGGUAUCUGUUACUGAAUACAUAGGUAACAGAGGCGAACCGGGAGAACUGAAACAUCUAAGUACCCCGAGGAAAAGAAAUCAACCGAGAUUCCCUCAGUAGCGGCGAGCGAACGGGGAUUAGCCCUUAAGCAUCUUGGAAGUUAGUGGAACGGUCCUGGAAAGGCCGGCGAUACAGGGUGAUAGCCCCGUACACGAAAACAACCUUGAUGUGAAAUCGAGUAGGGCGGGACACGUGACAUCCUGUCUGAAUAUGGGGGGACCAUCCUCCAAGGCUAAAUACUCCUGACUGACCGAUAGUGAACCAGUACCGUGAGGGAAAGGCGAAAAGAACCCCUGUGAGGGGAGUGAAAUAGAACCUGAAACCGUGUACGUACAAGCAGUGGGAGCCCUUCGGGGUGACUGCGUACCUUUUGUAUAAUGGGUCAGCGACUUACAUUUUGUAGCGAGGUUAACCGUAUAGGGGAGCCGUAGGGAAACCGAGUCUUAACUGGGCGUCUAGUUGCAAGGUGUAGACCCGAAACCGGGUGAUCUAGCCAUGGGCAGGUUGAAGGUUGAGUAACAUCAACUGGAGGACCGAACCCACUAACGUUGCAAAGUUAGGGGAUGACCUGUGGCUGGGGGUGAAAGGCCAAUCAAACUCGGAGAUAGCUGGUUCUCCCGAAAGCUAUUUAGGUAGCGCCUCGGACGAAUACUACUGGGGGUAGAGCACUGUUUGGGCUAGGGGGUCAUCCCGACUUACCAACCCCAUGCAAACUCCGAAUACCAGUAAGUAAUAUCCGGGAGACACACGGCGGGUGCUAACGUCCGUCGUGAAGAGGGAAACAACCCAGACCGCCGGCUAAGGUCCCAAAGUUCUGGUUAAGUGGGAAACGAUGUGGGAAGGCUCAGACAGCUAGGAUGUUGGCUUAGAAGCAGCCAUCAUUUAAAGAAAGCGUAAUAGCUCACUAGUCGAGUCGGCCUGCGCGGAAGAUGUAACGGGGCUCAAACCAGGCACCGAAGCCGCGGAUUUGCACUUAGUGCAAGUGGUAGGGGAGCGUUCUGUAAGUCUGCGAAGGUGUAUCGAGAGGUAUGCUGGAGAUAUCAGAAGUGCGAAUGCUGACGUAAGUAACGAUAAAGGGGGUGAAAAGCCUCCUCGCCGGAAGACCAAGGGUUCCUGUCCAACGUUAAUCGGGGCAGGGUGAGUCGACCCCUAAGGCGAGGCCGAAAGGCGUAGUCGAUGGGAAGCAGGUUAAUAUUCCUGCACGACUUGUAAUUGCGAUGGGGGGACGGAGAAGGCUAGGUGGGCCAGGCGACGGUUGUCCUGGUGAAAGUGCGUAGGUGGUGUUUCUAGGCAAAUCCGGAGACACAACACUGAGACACGAGACGAACACACUACGGUGUGGAAGCCAUUGAUGCCCUGCUUCCAGGAAAAGCCUCUAAGCUUCAGAUUACAAGUCAUCGUACCCCAAACCGACACAGGUGGUCGGGUAGAGAAUACCAAGGCGCUUGAGAGAACUCGGGUGAAGGAACUAGGCAAAAUAGAACCGUAACUUCGGGAGAAGGUUCGCUCCUGACAGUGAAGUCCCUUGCGGAUGGAGCAGUUGGGAGUCGCAGUGACCAGAUGGCUGGGACUGUUUAUCAAAAACACAGCACUCUGCAAACACGAAAGUGGACGUAUAGGGUGUGACACCUGCCCGGUGCCGGAAGGUUAAUUGAUGGGGUUAGCGCAAGCGAAGCUCUUGAUCGAAGCCCCGGUAAACGGCGGCCGUAACUAUAACGGUCCUAAGGUAGCGAAAUUCCUUGUCGGGUAAGUUCCGACCUGCACGAAUGGUGUAACCAUGGCCAUGCUGUCUCCACCCGAGACUCAGUGAAAUCGAAUUCGCCGUGAAGAUGCGGUGUACCCGCGGCUAGACGGAAAGACCCCGUGAACCUUUACUACAGCUUGGCACUGAACAUUGAACCUACAUGUGUAGGAUAGGUGGGAGGCUUUGAAGGCGUGACGCCAGUUGCGCUGGAGCCGUCCUUGAAAUACCACCCUUGUAUGUUUGAUGUUCUAACGCAGGGCCCUGAAUCGGGCUCGCGGACAGUGCCUGGUGGGUAGUUUGACUGGGGCGGUCUCCUCCCAAAGAGUAACGGAGGAGCACGAAGGUUGGCUAAUCCUGGUCGGACAUCAGGAGGUUAGUGCAAUGGCAUAAGCCAGCUUAACUGCGAGACGGACAGGUCGAGCAGGUACGAAAGUAGGUCAUAGUGAUCCGGUGGUUCUGAAUGGAAGGGCCAUCGCUCAACGGAUAAAAGGUACUCCGGGGAUAACAGGCUGAUACCGCCCAAGAGUUCAUAUCGACGGCGGUGUUUGGCACCUCGAUGUCGGCUCAUCACAUCCUGGGGCUGAAGUCGGUCCCAAGGGUAUGGCUGUUCGCCAUUUAAAGUGGUACGCGAGCUGGGUUCAGAACGUCGUGAGACAGUUCGGUCCCUAUCUGCCGUGGGCGUUGGAUGAUUGAAGGGAGUUGCUCCUAGUACGAGAGGACCGGAGUGAACGAACCUCUGGUGUUCGGGUUGUCACGCCAGUGGCACUGCCCGGUAGCUAAGUUCGGAAUCGAUAACCGCUGAAAGCAUCUAAGCGGGAAGCGAGCCCUGAGAUGAGUCAUCCCUGACCCCUUGAGGGUCCUAAAGGGCCGUUGGAGACCACAACGUUGAUAGGUGGGGUGUGUAAGCGCGGCGACGUGUUGAGCUAACCCAUACUAAUUACCCGUGAGGCUUAACCAUACAACACCCAAGAAGUGUUCU